This is a small nucleolar RNA of Peromyscus maniculatus bairdii (prairie deer mouse), 122 nucleotides long. Ensembl annotates it as predicted gene, 25876. The record is from Ensembl. Lineage: Eukaryota; Metazoa; Chordata; Mammalia; Rodentia; Cricetidae.
UGGUCAUUCCUAAGGUUUAGAAACUCUUUCUCAAUUGUUGUGGACAUUACCAUGAAAAAAAAAAAUUACCCACUAGUUUUCUGCCUGGUUCCUUUCUAGUGAUUAGCCUAUUGGGAACAUUU